RNAcentral lists this small nuclear RNA (21 nucleotides) under Arabidopsis thaliana (thale cress). RNAcentral's name for it is "snRNA_04080". The record is from RNAcentral. Lineage: Eukaryota; Viridiplantae; Streptophyta; Magnoliopsida; Brassicales; Brassicaceae.
GCCCGGUCGUACUCAUAACCG